Molecule: long non-coding RNA, 327 nt
Organism: Cotesia glomerata
Lineage: Eukaryota; Metazoa; Arthropoda; Insecta; Hymenoptera; Braconidae
Exons: 3
Source: RefSeq, a predicted model, not a curated record
ACGACGACGAUACACACAGUGCACACGUCGCGUGGAUUCGGUAAGACGGAGGGGGCUAGUAAGGCCAUAGCCACGGCCACCGAGUUGCGCUCACACAUUUUCUACUUUAACUACAACUACAACUACAACUACGCUAUGUAGAAUAAUGUUGAACUACUAAACACACUCGAAACUCUACACGCAGAGUGAGAUGGGUUUACAAUGUCAGUACUGAAUGCGUAGAGGUGUUUGCUAUUAUAGACAUUGCGGAGCUUUUUAAAUUACAAUCUACUCGACGCUUGGAAUUUAAUUUAGCACACAAUAGAUUUACUUGUCAGCACAACACUA